Long non-coding RNA from Lemur catta (Ring-tailed lemur), 2038 nucleotides. RefSeq lists it as uncharacterized. NCBI's taxonomy places the organism in Eukaryota, Metazoa, Chordata, Mammalia, Primates, Lemuridae. The record is from RefSeq and is a predicted model, not a curated record. The transcript has 7 exons.
GUCAGGUCCAGGCUAGGAAGGCCUGGGGAAUUGGGAGAGCAUUCUUGGGGUGCAAGAGUGGGUGGAACCAAGGCUGGGACAAAAGUGGGCUUCACUCAGUCUCGCCUGCAGGCUGGCGCCCUUCCUUCCACUGGUACAGCCCCUGGCUCUCCCUCCUGGGCUCCCUGCACUGCCUGCUCAUCCUGCUGCUCCUCACUUGGUGGGCAGCACUCAUCUCCGUGUUGCUUAUCCUUCUGCUGUUGCUGUAUAUAUUCUACAAGAAAUCUGGUGAGCGGGCUGGUACGUAGGGGGUGAAGAAGUGAGAGACAACAAAAGGCUGACCCGCACAAGAGGCCCAGAACUACCAACAGUAAAUCUCCGUUUCCUUUUCUACUGAUGAGUGAUGCCCCACCCCUAAUCAUCCUGCACCGCCCCUUCCUCUGCACAGUUGUGAACGGGGGUCUCUUUGGUCCAGGUGGGCACCUAUCACAUGGAGCUGUCCCACACAGUGAGCCUGACCAAUGCUCAGGACCACGUUAAGAACUUCUGGCCACAGUGCCUGGUGCUAACUGGCCCCCCUAGGCAGCAUCCAACCCAGGUGGGUUUUGUGGGAGCCUUCACCAAGAACACAAGUCUCACAAUCUGUGGGAAUGUGGUCCCGGCACCCCAAACCAUUCGAGUCUGAGAAUCAUGUCAGCUGGCUAAAUGUCUGGAAGAUUCGAUCCUUCUAUACUGUCAUAUCUGCUCCCAGGCUUCGUUCUGGGGCCCAGAGCUUCAUGCAGGUCAGCCUCCCAAACUGGAUCACUUUUGUCACCCCUGCCCAACGUGCUAUAUCCCCUUCUUUCCUCAUUGUCUCUUCUUUCAGGUUUGGGCCAACUGAAACCCAAUGUGCUGGUCUUGGGAUAUAAACAAAAUUGGCAGAAGGUGCCUACAUCUGCUGUGGAGAACUAUGUAGGCAUUCUAGUGUUAAGUGUGGGACAGGGGAGAAGAAGAUGGGCAUAGAAAUGGUCAGGAACAAGAGGAAAUUAAUCAUGGUGAAGCCCCUGUUCCUCCCACCUGCCCAGCAGUGCCUGUGUCCCCAGAAAAGAGACCCUCCCAACUCUUCCUCCUAUAUCUCCUUUUCUUGCUCUUCCAUGAAGUGAUGCCUUUGACCACAACUAUGGUGUAUGCCUCUGAAGGAUGCCAGGAGGGUUAAGCCUGACUACCCAGCAUAAAGCUCAAGCAUCCUUACACCAGCAGCCUCAAACCACGUUCCAACCCAAGCAGGGCCGGUGGACAGUGGAAGCGUACUGGCUCAGUGACGAUGAAGGGCUGACUAUGCUGAUCCCCUGUCUACUGACAUGCCAGUAAGAGUUUUUGUGAGCAGCCCCCCUGAGCAGCUGGAGGAGAAACACAAAGACCAAAAGGCAUUUGAAGAUCUGCUGGCCCUACACCGGUUCCAAGAGCCACCAACAAGGAGGGACCUGGAAUCUACCUCUCUCAACACUCCUUCAGGCUACAUCUCUGAGCAAGACCUGCAGCUGAACCAAAAGAAGUUGGAGUGGCACGUGUGCAUUCAUGAAGUACUAUGGCAAUAUUCCCAAGAUGCUGCCCUCAUAGUCAUGUGAGUCUGGGAAAAUUUCAAACUGCAGGGGCAUAGAGCCCAGGGGCAGGGCUAGCCCCAAAACUAGAUAAGCUGAGGAACAGGCUCCAUUCCUCACACUGCCUUCCAUACCAGGAGCCUACCUGUGAUCCCUCGGUCACUCUGCCCUGGGGCCCUAUACAUGACCUGGCUGGAGAUGUUGUCUAGGGGCCUGACAUCCCCCAUUGCCUUCACUCGUGGAAAUCAAGACACCCUGACCCUAUACCACUGGUAAGAGCCUCAGAAGAUACUGAGCCCGGAGGAAAAAAUCCGUAAUUUAGAACUCGGUGAGCCAUGAGUUUAGAUUCUUGGCUCCACAAACUUGGAAACUAUCCUUGGGAAGCCCCAGGCAAGAGCCCAAAGCUUCCUAAGGAAAGAACUCCCCUACUAAGCAAUGCAAACAGGCCACAGUGCUGAAGAAGGUCCUCCCAAGAUCCA